Long non-coding RNA from Mastomys coucha (southern multimammate mouse), 630 nucleotides. RefSeq lists it as uncharacterized. The transcript has 3 exons. The record is from RefSeq and is a predicted model, not a curated record. NCBI's taxonomy places the organism in Eukaryota, Metazoa, Chordata, Mammalia, Rodentia, Muridae.
AGAGACACCACUGGCUCCUGAUGUCAUCUCUCAGGCCAGGCCCUAAGGUAGACUUUUAAUCCUUUCAGGGAAAAAAAAAAAGAACUGUGCGAGAGACUAAGCAAGAAGCAGGACAUCUCUUGCCACACAGAGCUUGAAGAAGCCUGUUCUUGGACAGCUGGAGGAAGCUGGAAAUGCUUGGGAGUUGAUCCCACCCUAACUGGGUUCCUCGGUCAGUGAGUCCAUCUGAUUUGGAAUAAACCCAGAGGCAGAGUUUAAACAGCAUGGCUUCUCCGUGGGCUGCAGCAAAGUCUGGGCUGCACUUGAAACUCGCCUAACUCUUUUCCACGUUCUGGACCUGCACAUGCGAGUUGCGCUUUGGAAGUAUUGCCUCGUGUACUUGUCUCCUCAUUUCAAGAUUGUUCCCUAGAGAGCCAGCGUCAAACAGGGGGGGACCUGAGUUCUAAGUGGAUGAACAGUUUUCCCUGAAUUGGAUCCUCAAGACCAGUCACAUGGAAUGAUUGCUGGGGUACCCAAAGGUGAAGGUUGCCUUCUAGAACUCUGUUACCUUGGCUCUGUCCCUGUCUAAAUAGCAAUGUCAUUUGACCCCUUGGCUCUCUUCCUGACUAAAUAACGAUUACAUUUCCAUCU